This 431-nucleotide ribosomal RNA is filed under the name uncultured bacterium. RNAcentral describes it as "partial 16S ribosomal RNA". It matches the Rfam family "Bacterial small subunit ribosomal RNA", at positions 29 to 506 of the family's 1533-position model. The record is from RNAcentral.
ACGCACGCUGGCGGCAUGCCUAACACAUGCAAGUCGAACGAACCCUUCGGGGUUAGUGGCGCACGGGUGCGUAACGCGUGGGAAUCUGCCCUUUGCUUCGGAAUAACUCAGGGAAACUUGUGCUAAUACCGGAUGAUGUCUUCGGACCAAAGAUUUAUCGGCAAGGGAUGAGCCCGCGUAGGAUUAGGUAGUUGGUGGGGUAAAGGCCUACCAAGCCGACGAUCCUUAGCUGGUCUGAGAGGAUGAUCAGCCACACUGGGACUGAGACACGGCCCAGACUCCUACGGGAGGCAGCAGUGGGGAAUAUUGGACAAUGGGCGCAAGCCUGAUCCAGCAAUGCCGCGUGAGUGAUGAAGGCCCUCGGGUCGUAAAGCUCUUUUACCAGGGAUGAUAAUGACAGUACCUGGAGAAUAAGCUCCGGCUAACUCCGU